RNAcentral lists this ribosomal RNA (207 nucleotides) under uncultured bacterium. RNAcentral describes it as "partial 16S ribosomal RNA". It matches the Rfam family "Bacterial small subunit ribosomal RNA", at positions 568 to 774 of the family's 1533-position model. The record is from RNAcentral.
CGCGUAGGCGGGGAGGCAAGUCGGGUGUGAAAGCCCUCGGCCCAACCGAGGAACUGCGCCCGAAACUGCUUCUCUUGAGUCCCGGAGAGGAAGGUGGAAUUCCCGGUGUAGCGGUGAAAUGUGUAGAGAUCGGGAGGAACACCGGUGGCGAAGGCGGCCUUCUGGACGGUGACUGACGCUGAGGCGCGAAAGCGUGGGGAGCAAACG